Molecule: microRNA precursor, 69 nt
Filed under: Bucorvus abyssinicus (Abyssinian ground-hornbill)
Lineage: Eukaryota; Metazoa; Chordata; Aves; Bucerotiformes; Bucorvidae
Also listed under: 1 other name
Description: mir-302 microRNA precursor family
Rfam family: mir-302 microRNA precursor family
Source: Rfam by way of RNAcentral
CUUUUACUUUAACAUGGAGGUGCUUUCUGUGACUUGAACCAAGUAAGUGCUUCCAUGUUUUAGUAGAGG